This 461-nucleotide ribosomal RNA is filed under the name uncultured bacterium. RNAcentral's name for it is "bacterial SSU rRNA". It matches the Rfam family "Bacterial small subunit ribosomal RNA", at positions 338 to 795 of the family's 1533-position model. The record is from RNAcentral.
CCUANGGGGGGCAGCAGUCUAGAGGCUUCGGCAAUGGACGAAAGUCUGACCGAGCGACGCCGCGUGCGGGAAGAAGGUCGUAAGAUUGUAAACCGCUGUCAGUAGGGAAGAAUGCCCGGAUGGCGAAUCCGGGAGCGACGGUACCUGCGAAGGAAGCCCCGGCUAACUCCGUGCCAGCAGCCGCGGUAAUACGGAGGGGGCGAACGUUGUUCGGAAUUACUGGGCGUAAAGGGUGCGUAGGCGGUUCGAUUAGUCUGAUGUGAAAUCCCCUCGCUCAACGAGGGAACUGCAUUGGAAACUGUCGAGCUCGAGGAUGGGAGAGGCAGGUGGAAUUCCUGGUGUAGCGGUGGAAUGCGUAGAUAUCAGGAAGAACACUCGUGGCGAAGGCGGCCUGCUGGCCCAUUUCUGACGCUGAGGCACGAAAGCCAGGGGAGCGAACGGGAUUAGAUACCCUANUANUC